RNAcentral lists this ribosomal RNA (253 nucleotides) under uncultured bacterium. RNAcentral describes it as "partial 16S ribosomal RNA". It matches the Rfam family "Bacterial small subunit ribosomal RNA", at positions 524 to 776 of the family's 1533-position model. The record is from RNAcentral.
UACGGGGGGGGCAAGCGUUGUUCGGAAUUACUGGGCGUAAAGGGCUCGUAGGCGGCCAACUAAGUCGGAUGUGAAAUCCCCAGGCUCAACUUGGGAACUGCAUCCGAUACUGAUUGGCUUGAAUCCGGGAGAGGGAUGCAGAAUUCCAGGUGUAGCGGUGAAAUGCGCAGAUAUCGGGAAGAACACCGGCGGCGAAAGCGGAUCCCUGGGCCUUGACUGACGCUAAGACUCGAAAGCUAGGGGAGCAAACAGG